UCGAGAAUAUUCGACAAUGGGCGAAAGCCUGAUCGAGCGACGCCGCGUGCAGGAUGAAGGCCCUCGGGUUGUAAACUGCGGUAGUAGGGGAGGAACGCAAGUGACUGUACCCUACGGAAAGUGGUUGGUAACUACGUGCCAGCACCAGCGGUAAUACGUAGACCACAAGCGUUAUCCGGAUUUAUUGGGCGUAAAGAGCAUGUAGGAGGUCCGGUGCGUCUCUGGUUAAAGCCCACCGCCUAACGGUGGAAGUGCCAGAGAUACGAUCGGACUGGAGGAUGUGAGAGGUGCAUGGAACUCACGGUGUAGGGGUGAAAUCCGUUGAUAUCGUGGGGAACACCAAAGGCGAAGGCAGCGCACUGGCCAAAAUCUGACGCUCACACACGAAAGCUAGGGUAGCGAAGAGGAUUAGAUACCCAAGUAGUCCCUGAGCGGGCUGGCAAGGCGCAU
RNAcentral lists this ribosomal RNA (450 nucleotides) under uncultured bacterium. RNAcentral describes it as "bacterial SSU rRNA". It matches the Rfam family "Bacterial small subunit ribosomal RNA", at positions 355 to 825 of the family's 1533-position model. The record is from RNAcentral.